UGGAAGGAGAUCAUGAGACUUGCUGAUGCAUUAAUGCGAACUGCAUACUGCUUUGAACAUCGACAUCUUGAACGCAUAUUGCGGCCAUGGGUUUGCCUGUGGCCACGCCUGUCCGAGGGUCGGCUUAUAAACUAUCACGACGCCCAAAAAGUCGUGGCUUGGGUCUUGCCAGCUGGCAUGAUUUCCCCGCACAAUUGUGUGUGGGGUGCCGGAUCUAUGGCUUUUCCCCAAUGUGCCGGACGCAACCAUGUCUGGGCUGACUGCCUAGAUGAGGGGGUGGCGGCGGAGUCGUGGCUCAAUUGUUGUUGUUGUUGUUGUAACUGCCCCCCCUCCGUUGUUGGUCCUUUGUCUUUGGUUGAGGCUCCAGUAGUGGCGAUGCAUUCGAUGCAAACCGGUUUCGCACUUUUGUGCUUAACUUUCCUGACCUCGGAUCAGACAUGAUUACCCGCUGAACUUAAUCAUAUCACUAAGCGGAGGAAAAGAAACUAACCAGGCUACCACGCGCGUGGUGCGGCUGAUCCA
Molecule: ribosomal RNA, 522 nt
Filed under: Opisthorchis noverca
Lineage: Eukaryota; Metazoa; Platyhelminthes; Trematoda; Opisthorchiida; Opisthorchiidae
Description: eukaryotic LSU rRNA
Rfam family: Eukaryotic large subunit ribosomal RNA (bases 422-522)
Source: RNAcentral